GCGUUGCUCGGAAUCACUGGGCGUAAAGCGCACGUAGGCGGCUUACUAAGUCAGGGGUGAAAUCCUGGAGCUCAACUCCAGAACUGCCUUUGAUACUGGUGAGCUUGAGUCCGGAAGAGGUGAGUGGAACUGCGAGUGUAGAGGUGAAAUUCGUAGAUAUUCGCAAGAACACCAGUGGCGAAGGCGGCUCACUGGCCCGGUACUGACGCUGAGGUGCGAAAGCGUGGGGAGCAAACAGG
This 239-nucleotide ribosomal RNA is filed under the name uncultured bacterium. RNAcentral's name for it is "partial 16S ribosomal RNA". It matches the Rfam family "Bacterial small subunit ribosomal RNA", at positions 538 to 776 of the family's 1533-position model. The record is from RNAcentral.